Molecule: unclassified non-coding RNA, 320 nt
Filed under: plant metagenome
Description: partial contains 5.8S ribosomal RNA, internal transcribed spacer 2, and large subunit ribosomal RNA
Rfam family: 5.8S ribosomal RNA (bases 1-105)
Source: RNAcentral
GAAAUGCGAUAAGUAAUGUGAAUUGCAGAAUUCAGUGAAUCAUCGAAUCUUUGAACGCACAUUGCGCCCGCCAGUAUUCUGGCGAGCAUGCCUGUUCGAGCGUCAUUACAACCCUCAGGCCCCCGGGCCUGGCGUUGGGGAUCGGCGGAAGCCCCCUGCGGGCACAACGCCGUCCCCCAAAUACAGUGGCGGUCCCGCCGCAGCUUCCAUUGCGUAGUAGCUAACACCUCGCAACUGGAGAGCGGCGCGGCCACGCCGUAAAACACCCAACUUCUGAAUGUUGACCUCGAAUCAGGUAGGAAUACCCGCUGAACUUAAGC